GUCCUCAACAUCGUGUGGCACAUGUUCGUGGGUGAGCGGUUCCCGAUGGCGACAAAAACCUCCGCUGGAUCGUCGAUUCGCUCGAGAUGUCUCUCACGCUGGUCGAACAAGGCGGCUUCUUGAACUACACGCCGAUGAUCCAAUUUAUCGGCACAUUCCUGAAGCCGAAAGCCUUCAAGGUCGGUUUACAACGUGAAACAUCGCCUUGAGUAUUUCGAAAAGCUGAUCCAGGAACACAAAGCCAACCUGGACAACCCCGACCGCAACUUCGACCUCAUGUACAGUACUUAUUGGAACAACGACGCCAGAUCGAGCAGGGAAAUGCCGAGACUAUCUUCACUGGUAAGAGAGCGAACACGAAGGCAAAUGGGGUAUUGCAGUUUUCUAAUGUACCUAGGAUUAAUCCAUUUUCUUUCAUUUGUAUAUAUCAUCCCUUGUAGAGAAAUUGUUCUUUUAACUUCUGUUUGCCGAAAAUACGCAUUAUAAGAUCUUUCA
Long non-coding RNA from Penaeus monodon (black tiger shrimp), 495 nucleotides. RefSeq lists it as uncharacterized. The record is from RefSeq and is a predicted model, not a curated record. NCBI's taxonomy places the organism in Eukaryota, Metazoa, Arthropoda, Malacostraca, Decapoda, Penaeidae. The transcript is spliced from 2 exons.